GGGUGGGCACUCUAAGGAGACUGCCGGUGACAAACCGGAGGAAGGUGGGGAUGACGUCAAGUCAUCAUGGCCCUUACGGCCUGGGCUACACACGUGCUACAAUGGUCGGUACAAAGGGUUGCCAAGCCGCGAGGUGGAGCUAAUCCCAUAAAACCGAUCGUAGUCCGGAUCGCAGCCUGCAACUCGACUGCGUGAAGUCGGAAUCGCUAGUAAUCGUGAAUCAGAAUGUCACGGUGAAUACGUUCCCGGGCCUU
Molecule: ribosomal RNA, 254 nt
Filed under: uncultured Pseudomonas sp.
Lineage: Bacteria; Pseudomonadati; Pseudomonadota; Gammaproteobacteria; Pseudomonadales; Pseudomonadaceae
Description: partial 16S ribosomal RNA
Rfam family: Bacterial small subunit ribosomal RNA
Source: RNAcentral